This 253-nucleotide ribosomal RNA is filed under the name uncultured bacterium. RNAcentral's name for it is "partial 16S ribosomal RNA". It matches the Rfam family "Bacterial small subunit ribosomal RNA", at positions 524 to 776 of the family's 1533-position model. The record is from RNAcentral.
UACGUAGGGUGCGAGCGUUAAUCGGAAUUACUGGGCGUAAAGCGUGCGCAGGCGGUUCGUUAAGUUCGAUGUGAAAGCCCCGGGCUCAACCUGGGAACUGCAUUGGAAACUGGCGAGCUUGAGUAUGGCAGAGGGGGGUGGAAUUCCACGUGUAGCAGUGAAAUGCGUAGAGAUGUGGAGGAACACCGAUGGCGAAGGCAGCCCCCUGGGCUAACACUGACGCUCAUGCACGAAAGCGUGGGGAGCAAACAGG